This 392-nucleotide ribosomal RNA is filed under the name uncultured beta proteobacterium. RNAcentral's name for it is "bacterial SSU rRNA". It matches the Rfam family "Bacterial small subunit ribosomal RNA", at positions 975 to 1375 of the family's 1533-position model. The record is from RNAcentral. Lineage: Bacteria; Pseudomonadati; Pseudomonadota; Betaproteobacteria.
CAGGUCUUGACAUCCUAUGACAGCCCAGGAGACUGGGUUUCCCUUCGGGGCAUAGAGACAGGUGGUGCAUGGUUGUCGUCAGCUCGUGUCGUGAGAUGUUGGGUUAAGUCCCGCAACGAGCGCAACCCUUACGGUUAGUUGCUACGCAAGAGCACUCUAGCCGGACUGCCGUUGACAAAGCGGAGGAAGGUGGGGAUGACGUCAAGUCCUCAUGGCCCUUAUGGGUAGGGCUUCACACGUCAUACAAUGGUCGGUACAGAGGGUUGCCAAGCCGCGAGGUGGAGCCAAUCCCAGAAAGCCGAUCGUAGUCCGGAUCGCAGUCUGCAACUCGACUGCGUGAAGUCGGAAUCGCUAGUAAUCGCGGAUCAGCAUGCCGCGGUGAAUACGUUCCC